CAGCCGCCAGGUAAAACGAAGGGUGCAAGCGUUACUCGGAAUUACUGGGCGUAAAGCGUGCGUAGGUGGUGGUUUAAGUCCGUUGUGAAAGCCCUGGGCUCAACCUGGGAAUUGCAGUGGAUACUGGGUCACUAGAGUGUGGUAGAGGAUAGUGGAAUUUCCGGUGUAGCAGUGAAAUGCGUAGAGAUCGGAAGGAACAUCUGUGGUGAAGGCGACUAUCUGGGCCAACACUGACACUGAGGCACGAAAGCGUGGGGAGCAAACAGGAUUAGAUACCCCAGUAGUCCCUGUCUCUUAUACA
This 301-nucleotide ribosomal RNA is filed under the name uncultured bacterium. RNAcentral describes it as "partial 16S ribosomal RNA". It matches the Rfam family "Bacterial small subunit ribosomal RNA", at positions 512 to 808 of the family's 1533-position model. The record is from RNAcentral.